This 372-nucleotide ribosomal RNA is filed under the name uncultured bacterium. RNAcentral describes it as "bacterial SSU rRNA". It matches the Rfam family "Bacterial small subunit ribosomal RNA", at positions 524 to 898 of the family's 1533-position model. The record is from RNAcentral.
UACGGAGGAUCCAAGCGUUAUCCGGAUUUAUUGGGUUUAAAGGGUGCGUAGGCGGUUUAAUAAGUCAGUGGUGAAAUCUUGCAGCUUAACUGUAAAAUUGCCAUUGAUACUGCUAGACUUGAGUAUAGUUGAGGUGGGCGGAAUGUGUUGUGUAGCGGUGAAAUGCAUAGAUAUAACACAGAACACCAAUUGCGAAGGCAGCUCACUAAGCUAUAACUGACGCUGAGGCACGAGAGCGUGGGUAGCGAACAGGAUUAGAUACCCUGGUAGUCCACGCCGUAAACGAUGAUUACUCGUUGCAAGCGAUAUACUGUUUGUGACUGAGCGAAAGCAUUAAGUAAUCCACCUGGGGAGUACGUUGGCAACGAUGAA